RNAcentral lists this ribosomal RNA (498 nucleotides) under uncultured bacterium. Its description in RNAcentral is "bacterial SSU rRNA". It matches the Rfam family "Bacterial small subunit ribosomal RNA", at positions 903 to 1397 of the family's 1533-position model. The record is from RNAcentral.
AAAUGAAUAGACGGGGGCCCGCACAAGCGGUGGAGCAUGUGGUUUAAUUCGAAGCUACGCGAAGAACCUUACCUGGGCUUGACAUCACCGCGAACCUGGCCGAAAGGCUGGGGUGCCCCUUUGGGGAGCGCGGUGACAGGUGCUGCAUGGUUGUCGUCAGCUCGUGUCGUGAGAUGUUGGGUUAAGUCCCGCAACGAGCGCAACCCCCGCCCUGUGUUGCCAGCGGUUCGGCCGGGCACUCACAGGGGACUGCCGGUGACAAACCGGAGGAAGGUGGGGAUGACGUCAAAUCAUCAUGGCCCUUAUGCCCAGGGCUACACACGUGCUACAAUGGCCGGUACAACGGGUUGCGAACCCGCGAGGGGGAGCCAAUCCCUAAAAGCCGGUCCCAGUUCGGAUCGCAGGCUGCAACUCGCCUGCGUGAAGCCGGAAUCGCUAGUAAUCGCGGAUCAGCAUGCCGCGGUGAAUACGUUCCCGGGCCUUGUACACACCGCCCGU